GGAGUUGUAGCUCAGUGGUAGAGCUCUUGCCUUGCAUGCGUGAAGCCCUGGGUUCUUUCCCCAGCACCA
RNAcentral lists this transfer RNA (69 nucleotides) under Marmota marmota marmota (Alpine marmot). It matches the Rfam family "tRNA". From Rfam's summary of the family: Transfer RNA (tRNA) molecules are approximately 80 nucleotides in length. Their secondary structure includes four short double-helical elements and three loops (D, anti-codon, and T loops). Further hydrogen bonds mediate the characteristic L-shaped molecular structure. tRNAs have two regions of fundamental functional importance: the anti-codon, which is responsible for specific mRNA codon recognition, and the 3' end, to which the tRNAs corresponding amino acid is attached (by aminoacyl-tRNA synthetases). tRNAs cope with the degeneracy of the genetic code in two manners: having more than one tRNA (with a specific anti-codon) for a particular amino acid; and 'wobble' base-pairing, i.e. permitting non-standard base-pairing at the 3rd anti-codon position. The record is from Rfam by way of RNAcentral. Lineage: Eukaryota; Metazoa; Chordata; Mammalia; Rodentia; Sciuridae. RNAcentral also lists the same sequence under 1 other name.